This is a non-coding RNA of Mycena epipterygia, 91 nucleotides long. The record is from the annotation of a GenBank genome assembly. Lineage: Eukaryota; Fungi; Basidiomycota; Agaricomycetes; Agaricales; Mycenaceae.
GGCUCAGUAGCAUAAUGGUUAUGCAUCCACUAAUAGUACUAGUCAAGGGCUUGUAACGUGGGGUACGCCUGUUCGAAUCAGGCCUGAGCCA